This 247-nucleotide ribosomal RNA is filed under the name uncultured bacterium. Its description in RNAcentral is "partial 16S ribosomal RNA". It matches the Rfam family "Bacterial small subunit ribosomal RNA", at positions 526 to 771 of the family's 1533-position model. The record is from RNAcentral.
CGUAGGGGGCAAGCGUUGUCCGGAUUUACUGGGUGUAAAGGGCGCGCAGGCGGAAUGGAAAGUCAGUGGUGAAAUCCUACAGCUUAACUGUAGAACUGCCUUUGAUACUUUCAUUCUUGAGUUCGGGAGAGAGAGACGGAAUUCCAGGUGUAGUGGUGAAAUACGUAGAUAUCUGGAAGAACACCAGUUGCGAAGGCGGUCUCUUGGUCCGAUACUGACGCUGAGGCGCGAAAAGCGUGGGGAGCAA